GGCGGCAGUCAGAUGUUCGAAAACACGGAGCGAAAACACGCAGCAAAAAACCUGUCCGGAGAGCGGAGAAAAACAUCCUCCAGUAUGAGGACACAGCACACUGCAGGGGCCACAGAACUGUUGGCUGACAAGAUGCUUGUGAUUCAUAAAAUGGGUCAAAUGCAGAUGACAAAGUAAAGCCAACACUGAGCUGGAGGUGCUGACCCAGACUCCUGCCAACAAUUAGAAGACAAGAGAUACAUCAGACUGAGUGGUCCAAGUCCACUGUCCAUGUCUCCAAUGUCCAUGUCCAGAGUCUCUGAGGAGGAGGUCCAGAGUCUCAUAUGAUCUGAACAAGUGUGUGAGACAGAAAUGAAAACAUCUGUUCAUAAAUUUUUCUGAAUG
Molecule: long non-coding RNA, 384 nt
Organism: Boleophthalmus pectinirostris (great blue-spotted mudskipper)
Lineage: Eukaryota; Metazoa; Chordata; Actinopteri; Gobiiformes; Gobiidae
Exons: 3
Source: RefSeq, a predicted model, not a curated record